Long non-coding RNA from Dicentrarchus labrax (European seabass), 305 nucleotides. RefSeq lists it as uncharacterized. NCBI's taxonomy places the organism in Eukaryota, Metazoa, Chordata, Actinopteri, Moronidae. The transcript is spliced from 3 exons. The record is from RefSeq and is a predicted model, not a curated record.
GGGUGACCCGUGGUCAGUGUGACAGCAGAGAGACGUCAGCGCUGACUAAACAUGGCAGACAGAAGAGGAGCCGCUGUAGAUACAAACGUCUCAUUCUAAGAAGAAAUGUUCUGUCCCCCCAUGAGGUGCUGUGGAAAUAUCACAGGAGGAUGAAGAAGAUGUAGUUGAAAGCUCAGACGAAGAAGCAAAUAAGAGGACCUUGAUUCUUCUGUGUCGUUGUUACACUUAUGAAAUAUCACAGGAUGAUGUUUAAGAAGAAGUACAAGUAACAAGUACAGGACCUUGAGAACCAACGUUCUCCCGCA